GACGAACGCUGGCGGCGUGCUUAACACAUGCAAGUCGAACGAUGAAGAAAAGAAUCGAAGCUUCGGCAGAAAUUCAUUUCGGAUUAGUGGCAGACGGGUGAGUAACGCGUGAGCAACCUACCUCUUACAAAGGGAUAGCCUCGGGAAACCGGGAUUAAUACCAUAUAACAUUGUGACGAAGCAUUUCGAUGCAAUCAAAGCUACGGCGGUAAGAGAUGGGCUCGCGUCCCAUUAACCGGAUGGUGAGGUAACGGCUCACCAUAGUGACGAUGGGUAACCGGCCUGAGAGGGUGAACGGUCACACUGGAAGUGAGACACGGUCCAGACUCCUACGGGAGGCAGCAGAGGGGAAUAUUGCACAAUGGAGGGAACUCUGAUGCAGCGACGCCGCGUGAGUGAUGAAGGAAUUCGUUUCGUAAAACUCUGUUCUAUGGGAAGAAAAGGACUGUACCAUAGGAGAAAGCUCCGGCUAAAUACGUG
RNAcentral lists this ribosomal RNA (480 nucleotides) under uncultured bacterium. RNAcentral's name for it is "partial 16S ribosomal RNA". It matches the Rfam family "Bacterial small subunit ribosomal RNA", at positions 28 to 507 of the family's 1533-position model. The record is from RNAcentral.